This 640-nucleotide ribosomal RNA is filed under the name uncultured Actinomycetes bacterium. Its description in RNAcentral is "bacterial SSU rRNA". It matches the Rfam family "Bacterial small subunit ribosomal RNA", at positions 1 to 651 of the family's 1533-position model. Lineage: Bacteria; Bacillati; Actinomycetota; Actinomycetes. The record is from RNAcentral.
AACCUUCCCACAAGAAGAUCCUGGCUACCACGAACGCUGGCGGAGUGCUUAACACAUGCAAGUCGAACGAUGAAGCUGGAGCUUGCUCCGGUGGAUUAGUGGCGAACGGGUGAGUAACACGUGAGAAAUCUGCCCUUGACUCUGGGAUAACUGCGGGAAACUGUAGCUAAUACCGGAUACUUUCCCUGGUGGGCAUCCACUGGGGAAGAAAGAAUUUCGGUCAAGGAUGAUCUCGCGGCCUAUCAGCUAGUUGGUGAGGUAACGGCUCACCAAGGCGACGACGGGUAGCCGGCCUGAGAGGGUGACCGGCCACACUGGGACUGAGACACGGCCCAGACUCCUACGGGAGGCAGCAGUGGGGAAUAUUGCACAAUGGGCGCAAGCCUGAUGCAGCAACGCCGCGUGAGGGAUGACGGCCUUCGGGUUGUAAACCUCUUUUAGCAGGGAAGAAGCGAAAGUGACGGUCCCUGCAGAAAAAGCACCGGCUAACUACGUGCCAGCAGCCGCGGUAAUACGUAGGGUGCAAGCGUUGUCCGGAAUUAUUGGGCGUAAAGAGCUCGUAGGCGGUUUGUCACGUCUGCUGUGAAAAUCCAAGGCUNCACCUUGGACUUGCAGUGGGUACGGGCAGGCUAGAGUGCGG